CACAAUAAACAUAUGGAGGCUGCACCGCCAACAGGCGGCAAGGCUGGAGUAUUUUAUUACCCUUGUCUUUUGCGCACUUGUUGUUUCCUGGGCGGGUUCGCCCGCCUCCAGGACCACAUGAUAAACCUUUUUUAUGCAGUUGCAAUCAGCGUCAGUACAACAAAUGUAAAUCAUUUA
RNAcentral lists this unclassified non-coding RNA (177 nucleotides) under soil metagenome. RNAcentral describes it as "partial internal transcribed spacer 1". The record is from RNAcentral.